UAAUAGUGAUAUCACAGAGGAAAAAUUGUAGUUCUCUGGUAUCAGCUUUAAAUUCAAACCCUUCAAAUCUGAAAGAACUGGAUUUGAGCAGAAGUAAUCUCAGAGACUCAGGAAUAAAGAUAAUCUCAACUCUGUUUGAGAAUGGACAGUGUAGACUGGUAAAGCUAAAGUCUAACUGCAUCUAUAUAACAGCAUAUGGUUGUGCUGCUCUGGCUGCAGCUUUUAAUUCAAAUCCCCUCAAACCUCAGGGAGCUGGAUCUGAGUGGAAACCCACUAAGAGACUCAGGAGUAAUGAAUGUAUCCACUUUUCUGGCAAAUUCACAAUGUACACUGCAGAUACUCAGACUUUCAGACUGCAGUAUCACUGAAGAAGGUUAUAAAGCUCUGGCUUCAGCUCUG
Molecule: long non-coding RNA, 399 nt
Organism: Cyprinus carpio (common carp)
Lineage: Eukaryota; Metazoa; Chordata; Actinopteri; Cypriniformes; Cyprinidae
Exons: 3
Source: RefSeq, a predicted model, not a curated record